CGGGGCGUGGCGCAGUUUGGUAGCGCACCUGCUUUGGGAGCAGGGGGUCGCAGGUUCGAAUCCUGUCGCCCCGA
This 74-nucleotide transfer RNA is filed under the name Corynebacterium sp. RNAcentral's name for it is "tRNA-Pro". It matches the Rfam family "tRNA". From Rfam's summary of the family: Transfer RNA (tRNA) molecules are approximately 80 nucleotides in length. Their secondary structure includes four short double-helical elements and three loops (D, anti-codon, and T loops). The record is from RNAcentral. Lineage: Bacteria; Bacillati; Actinomycetota; Actinomycetes; Mycobacteriales; Corynebacteriaceae.